AAUAACUUAAUCUCAUGUAUAUAAUUCAUUCAAUAGUGACAAGAUCCAUACAUCAAAAUUUAAUUCAAGUACUUGAAGUUCCAAACGAAAGAAACUAAUGUAGUUCAAAACAUAAAUAUUAGUAGAGUGGUUAAACAUAACAACACGUCAAAAUAAGUUCAAAAAAUAUCUAAAUAUCCCUAGUAUGUGAUGUUGCUUCAUAAUCCUUAAUUAGUGUGCACUAGACUUAGAAACGCCUACCAUCACUUGACUCUUCUUAUUCGGUUACCU
This 270-nucleotide long non-coding RNA is filed under the name Trifolium pratense (red clover). RNAcentral's name for it is "long non-coding RNA (TPRA_LNC004228)". The record is from RNAcentral. Lineage: Eukaryota; Viridiplantae; Streptophyta; Magnoliopsida; Fabales; Fabaceae.